This 519-nucleotide ribosomal RNA is filed under the name uncultured bacterium. RNAcentral describes it as "bacterial SSU rRNA". It matches the Rfam family "Bacterial small subunit ribosomal RNA", at positions 791 to 1304 of the family's 1533-position model. The record is from RNAcentral.
UAGUCCACGCCGUAAACGAUGCACACUAGGUCGGGGAGGCUUUCACGCCCUCCCGGCCGAAGGAAAACCAUUAAGUGUGCCGCCUGGGGAGUACGGUCGCAAGGCUAAAACUCAAAGGAAUUGACGGGGGCUCACACAAGCGGUGGAGCAUGUUGCUUAAUUCGAGGCAACGCGAAGAACCUUACCUGGUCUUGACAUGUAUGGAUUAACUCCUGGAAACAGGAGCCACGCCCUUGGGUGGAACAUACACAGGUGCUGCAUGGCUGUCGUCAGCUCGUGCUGUGAAGUGUCGGGUUAAGUCCCUUAACGAGCGCAACCCCUAUCGUUAGUUACUAACACGUUAUGGUGAGGACUCUAACGAGACUGCCGGUGUCAAACCGGAGGAAGGUGGGGAUGACGUCAAGUCCUCAUGGCCCUUACGACCAGGGCUGCAAACGUGCUACAAUGGUAUGGACAGAGCGACGCAAGACCGCGAGGUGGAGCAAAUCGCACAAACCAUGCCCCAGUUCGGAUAGCAGG